UACGUAGGGGGCAAGCGUUAUCCGGAUUUACUGGGUGUAAAGGGAGCGUAGACGGCAGAGCAAGUCUGAAGUGAAAGCCCGCGGCCCAACUGCGGGACUGCUUUGGAAACUGCCCGGCUAGAGUGCUGGAGAGGUAAGCGGAAUUCCUAGUGUAGCGGUGAAAUGCGUAGAUAUUAGGAGGAACACCAGUGGCGAAGGCGGCUUACUGGACUGUAAAUGACGCUGAGGCUCGAAAGCGUGGGGAGCAAACAGG
RNAcentral lists this ribosomal RNA (253 nucleotides) under uncultured bacterium. RNAcentral describes it as "partial 16S ribosomal RNA". It matches the Rfam family "Bacterial small subunit ribosomal RNA", at positions 524 to 776 of the family's 1533-position model. The record is from RNAcentral.